RNAcentral lists this ribosomal RNA (347 nucleotides) under uncultured bacterium. RNAcentral's name for it is "bacterial SSU rRNA". It matches the Rfam family "Bacterial small subunit ribosomal RNA", at positions 917 to 1266 of the family's 1533-position model. The record is from RNAcentral.
GGGCCCGCACAAGCGGUGGAGCAUGUGGUUUAAUUCGAUGCAACGCGAAGAACCUUACCUACACUUGACAUGCUGAGAAGUUACUAGAGAUAGUUUCGUGCCUUCGGGAACUCAGACACAGGUGCUGCAUGGCUGUCGUCAGCUCGUGUCGUGAGAUGUUGGGUUAAGUCCCGCAACGAGCGCAACCCUUGUCCUUAGUUGCCAGCCUUAAGUUGGGCACUCUAAGGAGACUGCCGGUGACAAACCGGAGGAAGUGGGGACGACGUCAAGUCAUCAUGGCCCUUACGUGUAGGGCUACACACGUGCUACAAUGGCAUUUACAGAGGGAAGCGAGACAGUGAUGUGAG